RNAcentral lists this ribosomal RNA (99 nucleotides) under Macrococcoides caseolyticum. Its description in RNAcentral is "Macrococcus caseolyticus partial 16S ribosomal RNA". It matches the Rfam family "Bacterial small subunit ribosomal RNA", at positions 1442 to 1533 of the family's 1533-position model. The record is from RNAcentral. Lineage: Bacteria; Bacillati; Bacillota; Bacilli; Caryophanales; Staphylococcaceae. RNAcentral also lists the same sequence under 1 other name.
UUAGGAGCUAGCCGUCGAAGGUGGGACAGAUGAUUGGGGUGAAGUCGUAACAAGGUAGCCGUAUCGGAAGGUGCGGCUGGAUCACCUCCUUUCUAAGGA